RNAcentral lists this ribosomal RNA (409 nucleotides) under Verrucomicrobiota bacterium. Its description in RNAcentral is "Verrucomicrobia bacterium partial 16S ribosomal RNA". It matches the Rfam family "Bacterial small subunit ribosomal RNA", at positions 355 to 776 of the family's 1533-position model. Lineage: Bacteria; Pseudomonadati; Verrucomicrobiota. The record is from RNAcentral.
UGGGGAAUAUUCCACAAUGGGCGGAAGCCUGAUGCAGCGACGCCGCGUGAGGGAUGACUGCCUUCGGGUUGUAAACCUCUUUCAGUAGGGACGAAGCGUAAGUGACGGUACCUGCAGAAGAAGCACCGGCUAACUACGUGCCAGCAGCCGCGGUAAUACGUAGGGUGCGAGCGUUGUCCGGAAUUACUGGGCGUAAAGAGCUCGUAGGCGGUUUGUCACGUCGUCUGUGAAAUCCUAGGGCUUAACCCUGGACGUGCAGGCGAUACGGGCUGACUUGAGUACUACAGGGGAGAAUGGAAUUUCUGGUGUAGCGGUGGAAUGCACAGAUAUCAGGAAGAACACCGAUGGCGAAGGAAGGUCUCUGGGUAGUAACUGACGCUGAGGAGCGAAAGCAGGGGUAGCGAACAGG